UCAGAAAAGGAGAAAACAAAGAAAAAUUUCCAGAACACUUUAACUAAACACUGUCCAAAACUGCACUAGGUACUAAGUUGGUUGAGCUGUUCUGGCCAAUCUUCCUGAUUGUCGGAACUGUACUGUGUAUUUGCUGAGCUUUGUGGUUAUUGGAUUUUCUGUUGCUGUUACAUUCGAUAUCUUGGGUUUUCCUGCUGUCUCUCUGCUCUGUUUUCUGGGAUUGUCUGUCCAUUGCUCGAUCACUUGUUGAGCUUCAUCAUUGUGGCUGUUUUGGUUGUUACUGUGUUGUGCUGUUUACCUGCUGCUGCUGUGCUUACUGUGUACCACUCAACUGAUCCUUUUCCUUCUUCUGUUCUCUAUACCAGGUACACAACUAAUACACUGUCAAUGUAAUUGGAAAUUGAGCAUGAAUACAAAGGAAAAGACCUGAAGAAUGUCUUUUAUACAUAGGUUGUUACAUUAAAUAUCAUGUAAUGUAUAAUAAUUUUCGUUCCUGUUUGGGUACUGGAAGUAGCUUGCGUGUCUAGUAGAUAUCAAUGUAGAUUAGUUGGAUGUUAGUUUAUAUAUGUAUACCGUUAGGUAAAAAAUAUGCCCAAUACAAUAGGUUGUAUCCCAGACUUGGUUUAAUUGUGUAACAUAUCGUUUAAUAUAUGCCAAGCAUGAAAUUAUCCAA
Non-coding RNA from Nicotiana tabacum (common tobacco), 673 nucleotides. Lineage: Eukaryota; Viridiplantae; Streptophyta; Magnoliopsida; Solanales; Solanaceae. The record is from RefSeq and is a predicted model, not a curated record.